GGGCAGGGGCAUGGGCAGGGGCAGGGGCAUGGGCAGGGGCAGGGAGCAGCGUGCCAUUUGGCACACUGAACAGGCUCACCAUGAGUGAGCAGUGAGCCUCCUCACAGCUUACCCACUAGUGACUUUUUCUAUCCAAAGAUUCUCUGGCUGAAAGGAACGGCGAGGGAGUGGUUUGAGGAGAUACGGUGUCUUGACUUUCUUUUCACAAUUCUUUUUUUCCCCCCUUGUCUUGACAUUACCCCGUUGCAUUUAAAAUACUUACUGAUUCCUCUGGUUUAAAAAAUGCACAUGUUCAUUGUAUGGUGUCGAAGGCCCUCCACGAAGGGCAGAGGGAGCAAAGCCACAUUCGGUUAACUGCCAUAAACGUGUUGAUGCAUUUCUUUACUUUUACUUUCCAAAUUUUUCCUUUUUGAGCCAGGGUCUUGCUGUGUAGCCCAGACUGGCUCCGAACUUGGAAUCUUCCUUCUCCAUCAUUCCAAAUGCUGAGAUUUUUGCCUGCCUUAAAACACCUGGGUCAGACUUGAAACUUCAUCUCUCUGUUUUUGCACACUGUACCGUGAUGAACCUCAACAUAAAAUACUGGUUUUGGUUAAUCCCCAAGACACAAAGACAGACAGGCCACGUCUGUAGCAAAUGGCAUUUGUCCAUGUGUUUUGGAGACAAAAGGAAGGCUGGGGCAGUGUCUGAGGAGGCCAGGCUGCAGGUAAGG
Molecule: long non-coding RNA, 709 nt
Filed under: Rattus norvegicus (Norway rat)
Lineage: Eukaryota; Metazoa; Chordata; Mammalia; Rodentia; Muridae
Description: long non-coding RNA NONRATT000792
Source: RNAcentral